Daphnia magna is the source of this 783-nucleotide long non-coding RNA. RefSeq lists it as uncharacterized. NCBI's taxonomy places the organism in Eukaryota, Metazoa, Arthropoda, Branchiopoda, Diplostraca, Daphniidae. The record is from RefSeq and is a predicted model, not a curated record. The transcript is spliced from 3 exons.
UUUGAAGGCCAGGUAGAAGGGAGAUUGGAGGCCGGAGCCAUCGGUAGAUGACCUAUCGGUGGAAGAGGGGAAAAGGGUUGUAAGCGUGGGAAAGGAGAAAGGGAUGUAAGGAACGCGGCUGACCGUUCCUUACACUUUAAUAGUUCAAUUAACAGCCCACCUGUCAUUUCAUCCAACAGUUUACGGGAACAGUUAAGUGCUAACAACAGAAACCUCAACAAUUUUCAUGUCUCACCAGACAGCUCACCUAAGAGUUUACGUCAACAUUCUCAUCAACAGCAAACUAGUUUCAUUUAAAGCAAGUUGUUUUUUUUCUAUUAAGGCAUUGCUUAGACAAGGUUGUUGCAAUCGAAUAUAGCCACCAAGGAAAAGGAAAACUAUAAAAAAAACCUUUGAACGCAACUGAAUUUUACAAAGCAUAUAAAGGUAAAGUCAACUAAAAUAUUUUUAAAAGGUAUUUAUUCUUUAUUAUUUUAGUUGUACUUCGCAAGCGCCACAAGAAAAUUUACGAUGAUUCAACGGUUAAUAACUGCAUUGUAAAUUUCCUGCGUGGUUCAAAGGAUCGCAAAGGCGGAAGGAACCAAAGGCGUAAGAUUGCUGAAGAAGAAAAAAAACAAAGAAAACGAUAACAUCACAGACGAAGAAAAUGAAGACGAAGAGAAUGAAGACGAUGAAAAUGAUCUCCAAGGGACUUCGGAUGAGGACUGAAAAUUUAUAUUAGUUGAUCUGUUUUUUCAGUUUCCGUUUGUUCAUUUUUUGUUAAAAUAAGUAAAUGUUACAAAU